UUUGCCUACGGGAGGCAGCAGUGAGGAAUAUUGGUCAAUGGACGCAAGUCUGAACCAGCCAAGUAGCGUGCAGGAUGACGGCCCUCCGGGUUGUAAAUUGCUUUUAGUUGGGAAUAAAAGGGGGCUCGUGAGCCCCGUAUUGUAUGUACCAUCAGAAAAAGGACCGGCUAAUUCCGUGCCAGCAGCCGCGGUAAUACGGAAGGUCCGGGCGUUAUCCGGAUUUAUUGGGUUUAAAGGGUGCGUAGGCGGAAUAUCAAGUCAGCGGUAAAAAUUCGGGGCUCAACCCCGUCGUGCCGUUGAAACUG
RNAcentral lists this ribosomal RNA (305 nucleotides) under uncultured bacterium. RNAcentral describes it as "bacterial SSU rRNA". It matches the Rfam family "Bacterial small subunit ribosomal RNA", at positions 334 to 635 of the family's 1533-position model. The record is from RNAcentral.